GUCUAUAUGAUGGUUUAUAAAGUCUAACCUGCCCACUGGGAUCAAACUAAAGGGCCGCGGUAUUUUAACCGUGCGAAGGUAGCAUAGUCAUUAGUCUCUUAAUUGGAGGCUUGUAUGAAUGGUUGGACAAGAAGCAAACUGUCUCAAAUACAAUAAUUGAAUUUGACUUUUAAGUGAAAAGGCUUAAAUAUUUUAAAGGGACGAUAAGACCCUAUAAAGCUUAAUAAUUUAGUAUAUAAUUAGAUGAGUUAAAAGUUUAAUAUUAUUUAUAUACUGAAUUAUUUCGUUGGGGCGACGAUGAUAUAAUUUGUAACUGUUUAAAUCUAAAAUACAGAGAUAUUUGUGUGUAAUGAUCCUUGUUGUUGAUUAAAAAUUUAAGUUACUUUAGGGAUAACAGCGUUAUUUAUUUUGAGAGUUCAUAUCGACAAAAAAGUUUGCGACCUCGAUGUUGAAUUAAAAAUUCGCCAUGGCGUAGGAGUUGUGGAGG
This 487-nucleotide ribosomal RNA is filed under the name Homarus gammarus (European lobster). RNAcentral describes it as "partial 16S ribosomal RNA". It matches the Rfam family "Bacterial large subunit ribosomal RNA", at positions 1830 to 2570 of the family's 2925-position model. Lineage: Eukaryota; Metazoa; Arthropoda; Malacostraca; Decapoda; Nephropidae. The record is from RNAcentral.